CGGGGCGGGGCUCGGAGCGUCAUCGGGACCCGAGGAGCGGGGCUCCGUAACGCGGGCUGCCCGGGACGCCUCGCGCCUGCUGCUUUACCCCGUGCCGCCGGCACAGGGCGCCCGAGUCCCACGGAACGGCCGUGCGGCUCGUGGCGGGGCCGGGCGUUGUGCUGAGGGACGGCCUCGAGGGCGGGACGUUGAUCUGCACCGUCCGGCAGCGUUGUGGAGAUUCUCACUUCUAAGAAAGAUAUAAAAAUCUUAAGGCGCGAAUUUUGAGAGCAGUUCCUUCCCACAUCCUUUGCGCCUUUGGUUUCAGACACCAGAGGGCUCAGGAAAAGACCGUAUUUUUUCCCAUGAGGUUUUAAUCUCAAUAAUUAUUGUUUCUUUCAGCGAUGCUCACAGUAACUUCGUAGCUAUCCUUAAAAACGAUGUCAUAGCAGUUAACAGAACAAAACACCCCCCUUUCUCGAGCAAUUCCAACCGCAGACCUGCAGACAAUAAGCAGCAAAUGUUUUGGAGGAAUGUAUCCAUGUGGGGCCACCAAAUCUGCAGAUGGCAGUUGCGGUUCAUACAUGGAGAUUAAGAGAGAAAGAGGAGGAGAAGCAAAUGAAAGCCAGACUGAACAAAAUGCUUUAGAGAAAGAUCAGGAGAGAUGGGAAAGGGAUACCAAGGGAUGGAUUUCCCUUCCUCUGUAAGGCUCGAGGGUGACUUGUUCGUAAAGCAGCCAAAACCAUUAAAAUAGAGGCAGCAAUCUCUGUGCUUCAUCUCAGAUCUCAGUGCUUUCCAUGAAGGUGCCUCACUGCGUCUCAUUCAGUCAGCAGCUGUUGGGGCCCUCAGCCCCCAUAGGGCAGCAGCGUGUGAUGUGCUUUUCUGAACUGCAGAACCUGGAGCAGCACAUACCUGAGCAACCCUUUGGGCAGGGUGCUGAGAAACUCGUCU
This is a non-coding RNA of Meleagris gallopavo (turkey), 930 nucleotides long. The record is from RefSeq and is a predicted model, not a curated record. Lineage: Eukaryota; Metazoa; Chordata; Aves; Galliformes; Phasianidae.